This 171-nucleotide unclassified non-coding RNA is filed under the name soil metagenome. RNAcentral describes it as "partial contains 5.8S ribosomal RNA, internal transcribed spacer 2, and large subunit ribosomal RNA". The record is from RNAcentral.
AACCUAGCACACCUGCGGUGUGUACCUGCGGAGGGAUCAUUAAUAAAUGUUACUUCGGUAACUUAAUUAAUCCCUAACACCUGUGCAUCUUGUCGCUUCGGCGUCAUUUUAUAAACAUCAGUGUAAUGAAUGUAAAGUAUUAUAACAAAUACAACUUUCAACAACGGAUCU